GGAAUCUUCCGCAAUGGACGAAAGUCUGACGGAGCAACGCCGCGUGAACGAUGAAGGUCUUCGGAUUGUAAAGUUCUGUGAUCCGGGACGAAGGCAUCAAUUGAGAAUAUUGAUUGAUGUUGACGGUACCGGAAAAGCAAGCCACGGCUAACUACGUGCCAGCAGCCGCGGUAAUACGUAGGUGGCAAGCGUUGUCCGGAAUUAUUGUGCGUAAAGCGCGCGCAGGCGGCCGUGCAAGUCCAUCUUAAAAGCGUGGGGCUUAACCCCAUGAGGGGAUGGAAACUGCAGGGCUGGAGUGUCGGAGGGGAAAGUGGAAUUCCUAGUGUAGCGGUGAAAUGCGUAGAGAUUAGGAAGAACACCGGUGGCGAAGGCGACUUUCUAGACGACAACUGACGCUGAGGCGCGAAAGCGUGGGGAGCAAACA
The sequence is a ribosomal RNA, 424 nucleotides long. It matches the Rfam family "Bacterial small subunit ribosomal RNA", at positions 358 to 774 of the family's 1533-position model.